GGUGAGGAAGCAAGCUGUGAAAUAGGAUGUUCCUGAUGUAGUUUCAGAGUUAAUUCACAACUAGGAGAUGACUCCAUCCCAAACAAGCUUGUAAUUCUCUGCAUGAGCCAUGGGGAGGGGCAUUUAAAACAUUGCUGCUGGAUUUAUUACUCAUAUGGACAACCUUGAACUGUUCCCAGUUCCCAAUCUGGUUCAGGUUAAUAUAGCAACAUCCACAGAGCAAUGACAUGAAGAGCAAAACCUGGGAAUUUGGCUCAGGAGCUUAGCAAUACUGAAAAUUAAGCUGAAUGGACAUUCAGAAUGUCCUUGAGAGAUGAUGCAAAAUGCUGUGAUCAUUUGAAAGAUGAAUAGUUCAAAUGUUGUUGAUUAGAAGAUGAAGUUCCUGCAAUGGGAUUAGCAGAUCCUGGCUGUGUUUCUUGAGUGCUUUGUAAUGUCUAUUUAACAUGAAUAGGAAUGCCUUACUUCAGAAGGUGAGAAGCAAAACUAAAAUAGAUACUGUUUUGCAUAGUGGCAGCUAUUAACAGUUCAAGAACUUUAUCUCUUCUUGGGAGCAUAAUGGUAUCUGUUAACAUUGUGAUCAGCCCUUUCCUCCCAUGCUUUGUUUUGUGGUUUGGUGGAAAGAAGCAAAUAGCAGAAUGUGGGAUCUUAACUCUCUCAGAGCUUCUCUCUCCAUUACUUUUUUGCUAAAUGUGUAUGUAGAUGUCAAGGGAAGGUUUCAGUUGUUUCAUAAUCCAAUAAAUAAUUGAAAUAAA
Pezoporus occidentalis (night parrot) is the source of this 752-nucleotide long non-coding RNA. RefSeq lists it as uncharacterized. The transcript is spliced from 2 exons. The record is from RefSeq and is a predicted model, not a curated record. NCBI's taxonomy places the organism in Eukaryota, Metazoa, Chordata, Aves, Psittaciformes, Psittacidae.